AAAACAACGGAUCACACACAACAUAAACCAAACUCCUUCUAUCUUUCUCUCGAACCUCUGAUCUCCGUUUCAAACUCAGUCACACAACAGAUCACAUAUAAACCCUAAUCAAUUUUCCAUUUUCUAAAGAAAUCAAACAAAAAUGGGAGAUUAUCACCAAAGAAUAUCGGAAUAAAGCUCUCUUAUUUCAUCGAUUAAAUUAUUGUUACAAUGUAAUACGAACUUUAAGAUUAAGUUUACUAAGCGGCAAACGAACAUGACGUUAGCAAGUGCAGUCAUUUGUUGGUAUAGUCGCGCCUACUUUAACAGUGUCCCUCGUUGUAUUAUUUGAAUUUUUUUAUAGACGAAAUGACAAAGCUAUUGAAAACUCACACACAAAGUGAGUGACCGUGGUUCGAAUCCCGAUCCUGAUAUCCGACACUAGCAAUUUCGACAUUUCUGCCUGUUAAACUAGAAUUUGUGGACAAAUUUUUUAUUAUUAAUGAAAUGAACCGACUGUGUAAAUUUAAAAAAAUGAUAAGUUAAUUUUAAUUUUAAUUUACUGUCAAAAAUAAAAUAAAAUUAUUUUUACAUUGAUACAUCAACAAAAAAAACAACAGAUCACACACAAACAACAGAAACCAAACUCCUUCUAUCUUUCUCUCGAACCUCUGAUCUCCGUUUCAAACUCAGUCACACAACAGAUCACAUAUAAACCCUAAUCAGUUUUCCAUUUUCUAAAGAAGAAAUCAAACAAAAAUGGGAGAUUAUCACUUCAUAUACAAAGAUCUAGAAGGAGCAUCAACUCAAUGGG
RNAcentral lists this long non-coding RNA (793 nucleotides) under Trifolium pratense (red clover). RNAcentral describes it as "long non-coding RNA (TPRA_LNC002438)". Lineage: Eukaryota; Viridiplantae; Streptophyta; Magnoliopsida; Fabales; Fabaceae. The record is from RNAcentral.